This is a long non-coding RNA of Quercus robur (English oak), 933 nucleotides long. RefSeq lists it as uncharacterized. The record is from RefSeq and is a predicted model, not a curated record. Lineage: Eukaryota; Viridiplantae; Streptophyta; Magnoliopsida; Fagales; Fagaceae. The transcript is spliced from 2 exons.
AUCUAAUCCAUUAAUUUAUUGGUGUUCUGAUCUUGACCAUUCAUUUAAUUUGAGUAGAUCCUGGUUACCAGUAGAACAGGUUACGUAUAUAAACAAAACAAAAAAAAUCAGAAUUUUCUUUUGCACUUGCACGCUUCUUUCUCCCCUUCCAACUCUUCUUCCACGCCUCCUCCCUUCCAAAACAGCCACAAGAAACCUAAACGGCGACUAAACAAAACCCUCUCUUUCUACACUUCUUCUCUUCCAAAUCAACCACAAUAAACCUGGACGGCUACUAAACAAAACCCUAAGGAAGACUCACAAAAGAAGAAAUUGAGUCUUUCAAUUCCAGUCGUUCUCUGGCCGGCGACGAUAUUAGAGCAUUGAAUCCGUCAAACAGGAGAACUGGUCAGUACAGAGGAACAGAGAAGAAGAACAAAGCAAGAAAACAACAGAGAGGAGGAACAUGCUGAGAAUACAGCGAAACCCACAUUAGAAAACGAGUCAAUUUCAGAUGAAGAAUCAAGGAUAGCUCCCAAAACUGAGAAAAAGUUGGACUUUUUGAAAGAAUUCAAAGGUUCAAUUAAAGAAAGAUUCCUCAGCUCCUCAAACAUUGAAGAAUUGAAAGCUGUAGAUGUCUCUGUAGGGCCUCUCAUACUCACAAGGUGUAAAUGAAAACCAACAAGAACCGGAGAGAAGCUUGAUCUAGAUGAGCGAAAGUUCUUGAAUAAUAAUAGUUAUAUAAAUAAAUAUCUAAGGCUCUGUGCAAAGAGAUUUGCUCUUAUGAACAUCUCCAUUUUUUUCAAACUCUAAUAGUUAUAUCAUGUAAAUGCAGAUAUUUCUGUUGCCAGUGGAGUUGCAAAAGGGAUAAUAAGAAAUUCCUACAAGUUAGAAGUUUCCUUGUUGAGAACUUAAGAAUGAAUGAUCUAGAAAUGCACAUGCUUUUGAUCGUCU